AUUCAUGAAGAUUCAAGAAAAAUUGAGAAUGUAUUAUUAAUAAGACUUCAUGUGUAACUUGAUGCUAGUGUUAAGAUGGCAGAUUCAGGGAUUCCCCCAUAACCCAAUACAGAAGAUGCAAACAGAAUGUUUUAUUAGGGUGUGAAGAGUCCACAGAGCUGGGUCUCAGGUGAAAGACUGUCACUCCAACCAAAUAAAGAAAUGUAUCAACCAUUUUUCAAAACUGUACNAGACAUCAGAAAUUUCCCAAAAGAGAGGGCUAGAGAUGAGGGUGGAUAAAGCCACAGAUGGAAGGAGGGAGGUGAGGGAAAAUGGGCAAUCACUGUGGGACUAAACAUCCCCUUGCACCCAACCUACAUAAAUGCUUCCCUGUUUGAGUAAACUCAGGUCCAUGACAUUUUUGCCUAUUGGUAUUAGCCCUUUGGCUAGGAACAGGAUCCUGACUUUUAAUGUUUCUGCCUUAAUUGAACCUUGAUACAGUCUCUUAUUCAUCUGAGUUUCUGCCCUAUCAGACUUGUCCUACUUGACCAAAGAAAAGAUGGAGUUAUUUUAUAGUACCUAGAGGACUCAUAUUACUGGGUAACUGAAAAAUGGGGCUAUUCUCCUGAUAUGGUGAGAAGAAUAUUCUUGGGACCCAUAGAAGAAAAUGCAACCAUGUAAACAUUUACUGUUUUAAAACUUAGACUCUACAAACCAGUUUGCUCUUAGUUGUAAGGGAGGAGGUGAGGUCUUACCUCAUUUGUAGAUGAUCUUUGUACUUUAAAUAAUUAAGAAAAAUCUCAUCAUGAAUUAUACAAACUUCAGAUUUUAAUGGUGUCAUGUGACUGUUUUUCACUAGAAUCUCUUUUAUCUAAUCUUAUUCCCACCUCCUCCUAUAUUCCUUAAUUUUUUUCCCCUUCAGGAUUUUAUAUUCCUUUUUAUGUGUGACAUCAUAACUAAAUUUAAGAAAAAUGUAAGUUACCUAAUGAUUGAGUGUCUGCUACAUUGCCAAUCAUUUUUCUGGCUUAUAUUUAUAAAUUAAGGAUAUACUAUGACAUUUCUAGAAGAAUUAACAUCAAAAUGCAUUUUUAUUGAAAAGCACAUUCUUCCUGGUUGUUGUUUUUUUUCUACCUAAGUGGGAAAACUCAAUUUUAGAAUAUACUGAAUCUUUGUUCAAGCCAUCUAAGCUUAUUUUUAGUAUGGGAAAAGGACCAGAAGUAAUGACAAGCGUCAUUGGAUAUUGAAGAUCCAUAGAAAAUGAAAAUAUUCAUACAUAUGAAAUAAAAGUCUUCACAAUAAAUACUAUAAGACGUCUUACACAAAGAAAACCACUUGUGAAUUGUAAUGACAAUUCCUGGCAUGUAGUCAUAAUAAGUAUCUCUAUAUGCAUAACCAGAUCUUAGCUAACUCUGAAUCAUGAGGAGACAUUAUAAUAAGAAAAUUUCUAUAUACUUGGUAAGCUUUUGUUAGCUACUGUAUCAGUCAUUGUGACAAUCCUUUCCACUAGCCAAAUUCUUUAUUUCUAUCCCUUUCAUUAUUCUUGAUGGUAACUCUAAUAAACAAUAAAAUGUCCAAAACAUAGUAAGCAGUAGGAAAGCAGCUGCCUUCCCUUCUUUGGGAAGACAGCAAGGAAAAGUCAGUUCGUCCUAAUGUUUUUUUUGUACCAAGCUAAAAGAAACAUAUCAUCAGAUACAGAAAAGAUACUAUUUUCAUCACAAUAUAAUUUCAUUUACAGCUCCUUUGCUAGAAAUGCUUAAGUAAGCAUUUUACCUCUUCAACUAAAUUUACUUUCAGUUAAAUCAUAAUUUCCAAGAAAAACUAUAAAGAGUAUCUGAAUUGUUAGUGCUAUCAGGACAUGGGAGAUAUGGAUAACUUACAAACAAACAAACAAAAUAUAACAGUUGGAGGAUAAAGUGUUCAUAUGGCCAUAAACCAUCUCUGGAAAUUUCAUGACAAACCUCUUGACAUAAGACUCAAGCAAUUAUGACAGCCUUUCUGAUACAGAGGUGGAAGAAAAGUCCCUACAAUAAUAACAACAUAGAUUUUCUUCCCAGCUCAGUCCACCACCCAUUUCCAGGACAAUUCACAUAACAAAAAGAGGCAGGAAGAAACAUUCCUUACAUUGUUUUUCCAGGGCUAUUCUGAUGAUAGGCCAUGGCAAGAAAGCUCAGUGUCCAACAUCACAUAUUCCAAGUUCUAGGUAUAUGCUGUACAUAUCAGAUAGGAGAUAGAACAGUGUUAGCCAGUUUAUUAUGCCAGUGCUUACACACCCUGUCACAAGUCUCAAACUGAGAGGUUAGGUGCUAAAGAAGAUUUUUAGGAAAACAGCAUAAAAGGACAGCAAGCUCAUUGGGCAAAUAUGUAAGCUUAUUCAAAGCUUUCUUACAUGGAAGAGAUAAGUAAGGUAUAAACAUGGGAGAAAGAAGAUGUAUGAACUUUUCUAACAAAUCUCAGAUCAUUUCACAUCUUUUCAGUAAUACCAGCAUGUGAUGUUCAACAUAUAGCCCCACUUGCCAAAUCAUUAUUUUCUCUAUGCCUAUAUUUUUAUUUUUUGGAUUAGUUUUCAAAUGUUUAGGCAGUCACCUUUAACCUAAAGAGGCAUACACUCAUCAUUUUGACUGCCUCAGUGGUUUAAUGUAUAGCCAAAGAGUUUUGUUUAGAGUACCAGAGACUCGGGUCCACAAAGCCUCCCCACUCCCCAUUUCAUUGGUCUCCUACUCAUUCAGGAAAAAUCUUAUGAAAUUUCACAGUAUUUAGGGACAUGAUUUUCUGGCACAGAUUAAUUCCCAACAAAUAAAAUUAGAAAGUAAAUAGUUCAGAGUAGUUCAUGGUGCACAUGUUAACAAAUUUAAAAGAAUAAAAAUCAUACAGAGUAUACUCUUAAGACCAUAUAGAAUUAAGCUAGAAGUCACAGUUAGAUAGAAAAUCUCAAAUGUAUGUGGAGAUAACGUAUUUCUAAAUCACACAUGGUUCAAAGAAGUUUCAAGAUAAAUUUUAAAAUAUGUUGAACUAAAUGAAAAAAGAGCUUACCAAAUUUUUGUGAUAUGGCCAAAAUAAUGCUUACAGGGAAUUUGUUGCAUUGAAUGCAUGUAUUAGAGAAAAAAGAUCUAAAAUCAUUGAUAUACUAUUUGACCUUAAGGAUGAGAAAAAGGAAAGAAAAUUAAAUCCAGAGUAGGUAGAAGAAAAUAAAUAAUAAAAAUUAGAGUAAAAGUCAAUAAAAUUGAAAAGAAUAAAAUCAUAGUGAAAACUAAAAAAAACCCAAAACUUUGAAAAGAUCAAUGAAAUUGGACACUUUGUAGGCUCAC
This 3284-nucleotide long non-coding RNA is filed under the name Sus scrofa (pig). Its description in RNAcentral is "lncRNA (ENSSSCG00015072389.1)". The record is from RNAcentral. Lineage: Eukaryota; Metazoa; Chordata; Mammalia; Artiodactyla; Suidae.